Zophobas morio is the source of this 501-nucleotide long non-coding RNA. RefSeq lists it as uncharacterized. Lineage: Eukaryota; Metazoa; Arthropoda; Insecta; Coleoptera; Tenebrionidae. The transcript has 2 exons. The record is from RefSeq and is a predicted model, not a curated record.
CGUAGAUAUGUCAACUUUUGUUUUGCUUGUUUUACAAUAAAAUCGUUUGGUCCAAGAAUGUCCCGCCUUCAAGCAGUUUUUGUUUUAGCCUUGAUCAUUUUGCUGUGUCUAGCACCAUCUGAAAAAACGGAACCGACAGAAUGUUACUAUUGCAACAGAAAAUGCACGGAUCCUAUUAAAAUAGAAAGAUGCCGAUCUGUUUAUGAUGAUAACAAAACGUACGUUUGUGCGAACAAAAACCUUCUAUUUCCCGAGGGUCUAACCGUCUAUAAAGGAUGUUUUCAGUUGGGUGAUAUUUUCAUGAACUCGUGCCAUAACAGCUCAAACAUUGUAUGCGUUGGCUGCGACACGGACCUUUGUAACACCGGACAAUUUCUGUAUUACACAGGACCGAAUUCUACUGGCACCAGUGUGCCACGAACAUCUUUAGAUUAUUCGUCGUCCUUCUUAUUGUCCAUUACGUUUCUUCUUGUGAUUUUACAAUAAAAUUUACAGUAACAA